This 253-nucleotide ribosomal RNA is filed under the name uncultured bacterium. Its description in RNAcentral is "partial 16S ribosomal RNA". It matches the Rfam family "Bacterial small subunit ribosomal RNA", at positions 524 to 776 of the family's 1533-position model. The record is from RNAcentral.
UACGAAGGGGGCUAGCGUUGCUCGGAAUCACUGGGCGUAAAGCGCACGUAGGCGGGUCUUUAAGUCAGGGGUGAAAUCCUGGAGCUCAACUCCAGAACUGCCUUUGAUACUGAGGAUCUCGAGUCCGGGAGAGGUGAGUGGAACUCCGAGUGUAGAGGUGAAAUUCGUAGAUAUUCGGAAGAACACCAGUGGCGAAGGCGGCUCGCUGGCCCGGUACUGACGCUGAUGUGCGAAAGCGUGGGGAGCAAACAGG